ACAAAAACUUAUCUUCUUUCAUCCCCUCUUCCUCUUCCUGCCCUCUCUAUCUCACACUUGCUCCUCCAACGAACUCCGCCAUUGACAGCUUCAGCCUCCGCAUGCAGCUGCUGAAGUUUGGUGUACUUGCUCUUCUGGUACGCAGAAUUGGUUAGGCAAAAACAACUACUCCCUGCAGUAAGAAAUGCCCUGUCCGGAGAAAAAGCCCCAAUAGAAUUGGUCACAUCUCCCACGACAACUUUCACAUUGCUGGUCAAGAUGGUUUUCAGCCCACUUUCAACCUUACAGCCCAAAGAUUGGCACAAAACAAUUCAUGUGCGUGUCUGCAGAAAAUGGGAGUAUCGUGGAAUCAACGAAGACAACCCCUUGCAGCAUAUCGAUUUGGUUCUUGUCGACAGCCAGGGAAACACCAUGUAUGCUGA
This is a long non-coding RNA of Panicum virgatum (switchgrass), 422 nucleotides long. RefSeq lists it as uncharacterized. The transcript has 5 exons. The record is from RefSeq and is a predicted model, not a curated record. NCBI's taxonomy places the organism in Eukaryota, Viridiplantae, Streptophyta, Magnoliopsida, Poales, Poaceae.